ACCCUCUUGGGGUCAUAUCUGGAGAGUUUCCAGUACUCUACCAAUCUUGACUACGGGAGGGAAAGUCAAGCACAUACCCAUUCCAUUCCUAGUUUGGCCAGUGGCUAGUGAGUGGAAGUCAAUCUGCUACAAGU
Tachyglossus aculeatus (Australian echidna) is the source of this 134-nucleotide small nucleolar RNA. NCBI's taxonomy places the organism in Eukaryota, Metazoa, Chordata, Mammalia, Monotremata, Tachyglossidae. The record is from RefSeq and is a predicted model, not a curated record.